GUGCUGGCUUCUGCAGCACAUAUACUAAAACCGGGACAGUAUGGAGAAGAUUAGCAUGCCUCUAGUGCAAGGAUGACACAUAGAUUCAUGAUGAAUAUCAUUUUUUG
Small nuclear RNA from Apodemus sylvaticus (European woodmouse), 107 nucleotides. NCBI's taxonomy places the organism in Eukaryota, Metazoa, Chordata, Mammalia, Rodentia, Muridae. The record is from RefSeq and is a predicted model, not a curated record.